RNAcentral lists this ribosomal RNA (253 nucleotides) under uncultured bacterium. Its description in RNAcentral is "partial 16S ribosomal RNA". It matches the Rfam family "Bacterial small subunit ribosomal RNA", at positions 524 to 776 of the family's 1533-position model. The record is from RNAcentral.
UACAGAGGGGGCAAGCGUUAUUCGGAAUUAUUGGGCGUAAAGGGCGCGUAGGCGGCCUGGCAAGUGGAAGGUGAAAUCCCUCGGCUUAACCGAGGAACUGCCCUCCAAACUGCUUGGCUUGAGACCGGGAGAGGUGAGUGGAAUUCCCAGUGUAGCGGUGAAAUGCGUAGAUAUUGGGAGGAACACCAGUGGCGAAGGCGGCUCACUGGACCGGUACUGACGCUGAGGCGCGAAAGCGUGGGGAGCAAGCGGG